RNAcentral lists this microRNA precursor (72 nucleotides) under Medicago truncatula (barrel medic). RNAcentral describes it as "MIR2629 microRNA precursor family". It matches the Rfam family "MIR2629 microRNA precursor family". The record is from Rfam by way of RNAcentral. Lineage: Eukaryota; Viridiplantae; Streptophyta; Magnoliopsida; Fabales; Fabaceae.
UGCUGAGGUUUUCCUCGGUAAUUAACUGCAGCCGGUUUUGGACUUCCUCGGCAGUUAACUGUCGAAGGACAU